Antechinus flavipes (yellow-footed antechinus) is the source of this 5921-nucleotide long non-coding RNA. RefSeq lists it as uncharacterized. The record is from RefSeq and is a predicted model, not a curated record. NCBI's taxonomy places the organism in Eukaryota, Metazoa, Chordata, Mammalia, Dasyuromorphia, Dasyuridae. The transcript has 4 exons.
AGAGAGAGAGAGAGAGAGAGGAAGAAGAGAGAAGAAGGAGGAGAAAGAGAAGGGAGGAGGAGCAGGAGAGAAAAGUAGAGUAGAGAUAAGCAUCUCUCUUAUUCGGGACCUCUGGGAUUUGUCUAAGCGCCGGGGGUGGGGGUGAGGGCAGUUGGCUCUCCCCUCCCCCCUCCAGCAGCGCCCCAGACUCUGAGAUCGGCCCCUCUGGGAUCUCUCAGGCCUUUGCUGAGGAGAUAUAGCAGGGAUCGUAGAAGGGAAUGGAAGGAAAUGGGCCUGGAGGCAAGAGUGAAGAGCUAUCUUUCCGCUUUGACUUUCCAAGGGUCCUAGGAAACUUUGCUGGAACCGAAAGACAAACUUUGAUUUUCGCGCUGUCGCUCCCUCCCCUACUACCCUAAACCGGCGGCCUUCUUCCUUUGCCUGUUACUGCCAACUUCUUUUCUUUCUUUCGUCUUUCUUUUUUUUUUCCUUUUGACUUCCUUCUUUUCGCCUCCCUGGCCCCUCCGCCGCUGACCUGAGCGAGGGAAUGCCGUUAGUCCAAGCCACGGGACCCCUACCCCCUACCCCCCCAUCUCCUCGAGAUCGUGAGUGGCUGCCCUCACCCCUUAAGGCCUUGAGCCUCAUGGCGGGACCGAACCGAUUCCCUGGGACUAGUGCCACUUUGAACUAGGGGAAAAGUUUCCUUGAGCCUUGGAAGGGCUGGGCUCCGCCCUCAGACUGGGGGCACUGCUUGGGGACUCUUGGUUACUUCUGUAUCAACCCAACAACUUAGACGCCUGCAGGCUGGGGCGCAUCUGCAAUCUGCUUGGAUGUGUGUGGUUGAGGAGCCGGCAAGAAGAUGGGGCCAGGAGCAACUCGGUACCCAAGCAGACUAGAACUUUUCAGAUUCAUUGUUAACAAUAAUGGAUGGUAUUCUGAUUGUGAACAUGCCAGAUGUGUUUCCUGAAGCAAGUCUCAUUGAUUAAAGCUCUCAUGGUGUUCUGUUAUAUACAGAAGUGAAUCAGAAUAAAGUUUCACACAUUAGCAUGAGAGACACAGCUAGAUUCUGGAUAGUUUGGGGACACUGUGAACAGAAGUGUUUACUUUCUAAAGGGAAGGAUGAAAUAUUUUGGAAUGCUAUUGGGGAAUGAUGAAAACAUUCAAAAUCUAGAUCCAUACAAAACCAAAACUGGAAGCCCAGGAAAUUAAUUAAGCAAAGGAAAAAACUUGCAAGCAAAAGGAAGCAAGAUUUAUUUGAGAACACAACAUGGCUCCACAUGGAAAUCAGUCAAGCAUUAAUUCAGAGGCUUGUCAUGAAAUGGAUUCUGAGAGAAAAUGCGGAACUUACACAGCUGUGUGCCUCUUCUCCACCAUCUUGGCCAAAAGUCCCCCAUCCAUAUCUGUUAUUUCAUCACAGGAUUAACUCCCUGGUAUGGACAUUCAUUCCUUCCAUCAAUGUAGAUCAGGAAGUCCUAUAGUUUUAGAGUCAUUUGGAUUAUUGAAAGUUAAGUGCCUUAUCUAUGGCCAUACAACUGGUAUAUAUGUCAGAGGCAAGACCUAAACAUAGAUCUUACUACCUCCAAGGCCAGUUUUCCAUCUAUAUCCUCAGCUUACAAAAGUAUUUAAUGUGUUUUAUUUCAUUCAUUCUUAUAAUAUCCAAGAGUAUUAAGAAGGGAAAGAGUAUUUUCUGAACAAAAGAUAUUUAUCAAUUCUAAGUAAAAAACAAAAGGUACUAAGAACAUCUGCAAAUCUAAAGGCCAAUAAGUAAUAAAAUCUUAAAUACCCUAUUGUAUAGAACCAGCUAGAUGAAAACCAGACCAACAAAAAAUGAAUUUAAAAUAAUAUUGGUAAUCUAAAGACCAGUGGCAUUUAUAUAAUUUAAGAAAAAAUGUGAUUAAAAAGAUAAACUUUAGGAAAUUAUAUAAAGUUUAUCUUAAGAUCUCCCAGAGAUAUAACUAUUUAGGAAAUCUCUAUUUAAAAUUCUGUACUAAAAGAAAUGACAGCUAGUACAUUGCAUAGACUGGAUUCAGACAUCUUCCUGAGUUCAGAUGUGAACCUCAAACACUUACUAGAGCUGUGUGACCACAGGGAAGUCAUUUAAGUCUUUUUGCCUCAGUUUCCUCAUUUGUAAAAUGAGCUAGAGAAGAAAAUGACAAACCACUCCAAUGGAAAUUCCCUCCCCAAGUUCCCAUAAAGAACUUUAAAAGGAUAACAAAUAAACAGAGAAAAUAUUCAUUUCCCAUAGUAAAGUCCAAGAUAUUUAUCCAAUAAUCUAUUAGAGAUUAUGUUCUUUCAUUCAUGUAGUAAUGUCCAGUGAGUGACUAUUCAUUUGUUCAACAUCAUUUAUUAAAAAUUACACCCAACGCACUGUUUUAGACUUUGAGGAAGAUACAGAUAACUAAGGUCAGAUUCUAGAUUUUGAAGUCUACUAUUAGAAAACCAACACAUUUUGCCAAGAAAACUCCAAAUGGGGUCACAAAGACUCAGACAUGACUAAAAAAGACUAAGCAAAACUCACAAAAAAAAAAAAAAAAAGAAAUUGAGAAACUGAUCCCCCUUUGGUAGUGGAAAAUGUACUAGAUUUGGAAUCAAAGGACCUAAGUUGAAUUUUGUAUUUCCUAUUUACUAUGACCCUGGGCAAGUCACUUAUGGAACUCAGUUUCCUCAUUUAUAAAAAUAAAGGGGGUGGAUUAGCUGAUCUUUCAAACUAGCAUCUAUUUGAAGUAUUACUUAGCACACCAAAAGCUUAAGGGAUCUGCCAGAGGUCUCACUGCCAGUUUAUGGGAGAUAAGAUUUGAACUUGACUUUUCCUGCCUCUAAGAUCAUGUUCUAUCAUUCUCUACAUACUAUUUCCACUAUACAAGCAUUCCUCUGUCAUUAGGAUAUGCAUGUUUUAAGAUGCUCAUUUUUCCAACAAGAUUGGAAAAUAGAUUGUAUUUCAUUAAGAAAACCAGAGAUAAACUCUAACCAGUGCUAAGUCCAGCUCUAAAUCUAUGAUCCCAUGAGUCUUGAUGGAUGUUCCUCAUAAAGAACUUAUAAAGGAUAACAAAUAGAAAAAGUAUUCAUUUCCCACAGUAAAGUCCAAGAUAUUUAUCCAACAAUAAAUGUCAUUUCAAUAUGAAGCUUUUCUUGGAGUUGGCUAGCAAUUGAUAUUGCAGGACAUGUGUUUUUAAGUAACAAUUAAGAUGCUUGAAGAUGCUGUUAUCAUCUUCCAUCAGUGGAAGCUUUCAGAUGGCUAUUUUAAUGAAUCCCCAGCUAGAGUGGGCUUCAGGAUUUACUAUGGAUUCAAAGUGACACAGCCCAUAUUUAAUCAGGGGAUUUAAAAGCUGAAUGCAAAAGAAAAAUUCACUCUGUCCAAAACCAGUUUGGACUUAUCACUGAGCAAAAGUUACAUGUAAACAAUAAAACUCAGGGGCAAGAGUCAAAUCUGUCAUAUGCUGCUAAGGGAAUUUAAACACCAAGCCAUAUGCUCUAAAUGUUUUUCUGGCUGAACAGUGUAACUUCAGUCUUGUGCUUUCUUUGUUCAUGCAUAUAAUUUUCAGGCAAGCCCCAAGACCAGAGACUGCACCAAACUAUAGAGAGUCAUCUCAAAACCACUUUUUAAAAAAUCUAAAUUAUUAAACAAAUAGCUCUUUAAUAUUUUUUAAAUUUUAAUUUAAAAUAUGUGUUUACUAACUGGAGAGUACACCAAUGUCCUGCCAGGAAACUGAAUUGUUUCCAUUUUAAUUUUCUUAGGAAGAUUCUGAAGAUCACCCAGCAGCUUUGAAACAAUUAUUAAAAAUAAUUUGACAAGGCAUAAUACUUGUUAUAAUAUGAAAAUAGGAAAGCCAUGGGUGUUCUAAGCACAUAAUUAUAAACAAAACAUUUAUUACUUUUUUUUUUACUGGCCCAUUGAUUUCAGUAGUAUAAAGAACUUAUUCUGCCAGGAUAGAUUAGCAACUACUUUGCAACUUAAAGUCCUAGGUGUCAGGUUGGUAGAGCACUGAAUCUGGAGACUAGAAGAUCUGAAUUCAAAUCCAACUUCAGAUCUUUACUAGUUAUAUGAGCUAAGCUAGUCAUUUAGUUUCUGUUUGCCUCAAUUUCCUCAUCUGAAAUUUGGGGAUUAAAAAAUUAGCCCCUACCUCUCAAGAUCGUUGUGAGGAUCAGAUAAAAUAAUUGUAAAGACUCAGUUUCCACCACUACACACCUGUCAGAUUGGCUAGAAUGACAAGGAAAGAUAAUGGGGAAUGUUGGAGGGGAUGUGGGAAAACAGGGACACUGAUACAUUGUUGGUGGAAUUGUGAACACAUCCAGCCAUUCUGGAGAGCAAUUUGAAACUAUGCUCAAAAAGUUAUCAAACUAUGCAUACCCUUUGAUCCAGCAGUAUUUCUACUGGACUUAUAUCCCAAAGAGAUACUAAAGAAAGGAAAGGGACCUGUAUGUGCCAAAAUGUUUGUGGCAGCCCUGUUUGUAGUGGCUAGAAACUGGAAAAUGAAAGGAUGUCCAUCAAUUGGAGAAUGGUUGAGUAAAUUGUGGUAUAUGAAUGUUAUGGAAUAUUAUUGUUCUGUAAGGAAUGACCAGUAGGAUGAAUACAGAGAGGACUGGCGAGACUUACAUGAACUGAUGCUGAGUGAAAUGAGCAGAACCAGGAGAUCAUUAUAUACCCCAACAAUGAUACUGUUUGAGGAUGUAUUCUGAUGGAAGUGGAUCUCUUCAAUAAAGAGAGCCUUAAUUGAUCAAAGAUGGACAGAAGCAGCUACACCCAGAGAAAGAACACUGGGAAAUGAAUAUAAACUGCUUGCAUUUUUGUUUUUCUUUCUGGGUUAUUUAUACCUUCUGAAUUCAAUUCUCCCUGUGCAACAAGAAAACUGUCCGGUUUUGCACACAUAUAUUGUAUCUAGUAUAUACUGUAACCCAUUCAACAUGUAAAGGACUGCUUGCCAUCUGGGGGAAGGGGUGGAGGGAGGGAGGGGAAAAAUCAGAACAGAAGUGAAUGCAAGGGAAAAUGCUGUAAAAAAUUGCCCUGGCAUGCGUUCUAUCAAUAAAAAGUUAUUAAAAAUAAAUAAAUAAAUAAAAAGACUCAGUUUCCUCAUCUGUAAAAUUCAGAUAAAAAUAGCACUUAUCUCCCAGGGUUGUGGUGAGGAUCAAAAGAAAUAAUUGUAAACUAUUCAGGACAGCACUAAAUAAAAGUGCCCUGUUGCUGUCAUUGUUAUUAUAAAAUAGUAAUUAUUAAAGAAUUACCUAGUAAAAUAAGAGCCUGCCUGGGGAUGGGUAGUUAUGCAGUGAACAAAGCAGUGGGUUUGAGGUCAAGAAGUCCUGAAGUCAAAUGUGAGCUCAGAAAUUUGCUAGCUGUGGGUCCUGGGCAAAUCAUUUAAUCUCUGUUUGCCUCAAUUCACUCAUCCAUAAAAUAAAGAUAAUAACUGUACCUGUCUCAGAGGGUUGUUGUAAAGAUCAAAUAAGAUAUUUGUUAAGCAUGAAAAAUAAUAUCUGGCACACAGUAGACAUUUAAUAAUUGUUCCUUUUCCCUCUCCACAGUCUUGCAGUCAGAAUGCGUCAGAAGUAGAAUUGGAAUUCCAAUCAUCCCGAUUUUAAGAACAGUGCUCUCAUCUGCAACAGGGAUGUCUUGUGUCUUGGGAUAUGCAAGUUUUAACAUUCUAGUUAAUACUAACAGAUUUAGAAAUAAGUUUUGAAAGAAAUCACUCAACAAAAUUCAGAAAGUAUUGUUUUUGAAAGGUUAUACUUCAGGAAAGAAUUCAGAGAGACAGCAGGCAAAUUUCCUGUUUUUUUAAAUAAAUGCAUUAUUAUGCUCUUUGUUCAAUGAUGCUGAUGCUAAUGUGGAAAAUAGCAGGGCAUAAUUUGUGACUCUCAACCAAUAAUAAUAUUAAUAAUAAACCUCUAUAUUGUACCUAUAAUAUUGUACUAAGUACUUUAGUAAUGGCCCAAUUGGCCACUUCUGGUUGGGUCCC